UCCCGCCUAGCUCAGUUGGUAGAGCGCGUCACUAGUAUUAUCACCUGAUACAAAAAUGCACAUGACGAGGUCAGUCGUUCGAGUCGGCUGGUGGGAA
RNAcentral lists this transfer RNA (97 nucleotides) under Cubamyces sp. BRFM 1775. RNAcentral's name for it is "Leiotrametes sp. BRFM 1775 tRNA-Thr". The record is from RNAcentral. Lineage: Eukaryota; Fungi; Basidiomycota; Agaricomycetes; Polyporales; Polyporaceae.